This 2146-nucleotide ribosomal RNA is filed under the name Entamoeba muris. Its description in RNAcentral is "18S ribosomal RNA". It matches the Rfam family "Eukaryotic small subunit ribosomal RNA". The record is from RNAcentral. Lineage: Eukaryota; Evosea; Mastigamoebida; Endamoebidae.
UAUCUGGUUGAUCCUGCCAGUAUUAUAUGCUUCUGUCAAAGAUUAAGCCAUGCAUGUCUAAGCAUAAAUUCUAGUAUGAUGAAGCUGCGGACGGCUCAGUACAACAGUUAUAAUCUUUUUGAUGAAAGAGAUGAUAAGGAUAUCUUUGAGAACGUCAAAGCUAAUACUUGUCGGUGGGUUCACAAGCUUAUUAUGAGUGAAUUGUCUUUUAGGCAGUUUAAUCAUGGUAAGGUGAUCAAGUGAAUACUUGGUCCGAUAAUCACCAUUUCUUUUUGAAUAAGAGUGGAAGACUUUUCCGAGAUAAUUGUUUGAAACGAGAGUUUUAUACAAGUCAUCAUUAAGAAUAUCUGACCUAUCAAUUAUUGUUGGUAAGGUAGUGGCUUACCAAGGUUGUAACGGGUAACGAGGAAUAAGGGUUCGACAUCGGAGAGGGAGCUUUAGAAAUGGCUACCACUUCUAAGGAAGGCAGCAGGCGCGAAAAUUACCCAAUCUUAACAAAUGAAGGAGGUAGUGACGACAAUUAACUCUGUCAUCAUCUAUACGGUGAUGAUUGUUGGAAUGACUACGACACAAAAAAUCGUAGGAAAUCGAUUGGAGGGCAAGUCUGGUGCCAGCAGCCGCGGUAAUUCCAGCUCCAAUAGUGUAUUGUAAAGUUGUUGUGAUUAAAACGCUCGUAGUUGAAUUUAAACAAGAAGGACUUUUUUCUGGUCUCUAAUCAAGUUUCCGUUGAUGACGCAAGUUUGAGACGAUUCUUGACGAGACUUUGAAGCUUACGGUUCUUCACUAAACGAGAGAAAGGGUAACACCUUUCUUUUUUACUUUGAAUAAAUCAAGGUGCUCAAAGCAAAAACUUUUGUUAAUGAAUGAUGAAGCAUGGUAUAAAAUGAAAAACAGAAUAUCAUCAAAAACAGUCUGAAAUUGGAGAUGGAGAUAAAACUCCAUUCAAAAUUGAAAGUCUGUCUUAUUUUGUUUUAAAUAAGAUUAAAAGAAAUGAUUAGGGUGAUCUAGAUAGGAACGGGAGAGGUGGAAAUCCAUGAUCGUUUCGAGAUAAGCGAGAGCGAAAGCAUUUCACUGAACUCAUUUCAUUAAUCAAGAACGAAAGUCAGGGAAUCGAAGACGAUUAGAUACCGUCGUAGUCCUGACCAUAAACGAUGUCAACUAAGGAUUGGAUUGGAACAAACAUGAGAGGUCACUUUACUUUUCUUUCAUUUUCGUCAGAAAAUGGAUGAAAUUGGUGGGUUCUCUAUAUCUUCCCUUAUUCAGAACUUGAUGAGAAAUCAUUAAGUUAAUGGACUUCAGGGGGAGUAUGGUCACAAGGCUGAAACUUAAAGAAAUUGACGGAAGGGCACACCAGGAGUGGAGCCUGCGGCUUAAUUUGACUCAACACGGGAAAACUUACCAAGACCAAACGGUGUUAGGAAUGACAGGUUACUGGAUCUUUCAUGAUUCAUCGGGGAGUGGUGCAUGGCCGUUCUUAGUUCGUGGAGUGAUUUGUCUGGUUAAUUCCGAUAACGAACGAGACUUGAACUUGCUAAUUAGUUGGACAAUAAAUUCCUUCGGGGGUUUAUGUUUAUUCUCUCCUUGGAGAGUUACACGCAAAUGAAGCGUGACUUCUUAGAGGGACAAAUCUUUAUUCCUUUACGUCGUUGGCACGCCUCUUUCCUUUCGGGGUUAGAGUUUGCUAACGGUCGUAAAACAAAAAGAAGGAAGCAUCAAGCAAUAACAGGUCUGUGAUGCCCUUAGACAUCUUGGGCUGCACGCGUGCUACAAUGAAAGUACUAGAGAGUUCAAGUGUUUUUUACUGUCUUUUGGGGGGUUUCUGACUUUUCUGAGAUAGUGAAAGAUGCGUUCACCUACUCCGAAAGGAGAUGGAAAACUCUAAUGUCUUUAUUUAUUCUUGACUGGGAUGAAUGAUUGGAAUUAUUUGUUCUGAACAAGGAAUUCCUUGUAAAAGCAAGUCAUUAGCUUGCGUUGAAUACGUCCCUGCCCUUUGUACACACCGCCCGUCGCUCCUACCGAUCGAACAAAAAGGUGAAAUUUCGGGAUCUUGUGGUUCACACCAUAAAGAAAACGGAAGUAAAUCUUUUUGUUUAGAGGAAGGAGAAGUCGUAACAAGGUUUCCGUAGGUGAACCUGCGGAAGGAUCA